GGGAGCUAUUGCUGCCAUAUGUAUGGAUAAAGAUCUUGUGGGUAGUUUCCUAUUUACUCUUGCUCUAAAUCAUAAGCAGAUGAGUGCAUAUUUUGCUCCAGCAUUUUUCAGCCAUCUCCUGGGGAAAUGUAUGAGGCGUAGAAACCCCAUUGUUGAAGUGUUAAAAUUGGGCUUGGUGGUAUUGGGAACUUUUGCUAUUAUUUGGUCGCCAUACCUUCAUUCAGUUGAUGCCCUUUUGCAGGUUCUAUCACGUCUUGCUCCCUUUGAGAGAGGAUUAUAUGAAGAUUAUGUGGCGAACUUUUGGUGUACCACAUCUGUCCUUAUUAAGUGGAAGAGAUUAUUUUCAGUAAAAUUACUGAAGUUUCUCAGCUUCACUGCUACACUGUCUACAUGUUUACCUUCCAUGAUUCAACAGAUUCGUGUACCAAGUAACCGGGGGUUUCUAUAUGGC
Molecule: unclassified non-coding RNA, 451 nt
Filed under: Hevea brasiliensis (rubber tree)
Lineage: Eukaryota; Viridiplantae; Streptophyta; Magnoliopsida; Malpighiales; Euphorbiaceae
Source: RNAcentral